RNAcentral lists this ribosomal RNA (465 nucleotides) under uncultured bacterium. RNAcentral describes it as "partial 16S ribosomal RNA". It matches the Rfam family "Bacterial small subunit ribosomal RNA", at positions 28 to 507 of the family's 1533-position model. The record is from RNAcentral.
GACGAACGCUGGCGGCGUGCUUAACACAUGCAAGUCGUACGGUAAGGCCCUUUUGGGGGUGUACUCGUGGGGAACAGGUGAGUGACACGUGAGUAACCUGCGCCCUACACUUCGGGAACGGCCGGAGACACGUGCUAUUACUGCGUAUGUGCUCCUUCUGCAUGGUGGGGGUUGGAAAGCUCUGUCGGUUGUGGAUGGACUCGCGGCCUAUCAGCUUGUUGGUGGGGUAGUGGCCUACCAAGGCGGCGACGGGUAGCCGGCCUGAGAGGGUGGCCGGCCACAUUGGGACUGAGAUACGGCCCAGACUCCUACGGGAGGCAGCAGUGGGGAAUAUUGCACAAUGGGCGCAAGCCUGAUGCAGCAACGCCGCGUGCGGGAUGACGGCCUUCGGGUUGUAAACCGCUUUCGGCAGGGACGAAGCUUUUUGUGACGGUACCUGCAGAAGAAGCACCGGCUAACUACGUG